RNAcentral lists this ribosomal RNA (493 nucleotides) under uncultured bacterium. RNAcentral describes it as "partial 16S ribosomal RNA". It matches the Rfam family "Bacterial small subunit ribosomal RNA", at positions 29 to 507 of the family's 1533-position model. The record is from RNAcentral.
AGUGAACGCUGGCGGUAGGCCUAACACAUGCAAGUCGAACGGCAGCACAGUAAGAGCUUGCUCUUACGGUUGGCGAGUGGCGGACGGGUGAGGAAUACAUCGGAAUCUACUUUUUCGUGGGUGAUAACGUAGGGAAACUUACGCUAAUACCGCAUACGACCUACGGGUGAAAGCAGAGGAUCUUCGGACCUUGCGCGAUUGAAUUAGCCGAUGUCGGAUUAGCUAGUUGGCGGGGUAAAGGCCCCACCAAGGCGACGAUCCGUAGCUGGUCUGAGAGGAUGAUCAGCCACACUGGAACUGAGACACGGUCCAGACUCCUACGGGAGGCAGCAGUGGGGAAUAUUGGACAAUGGGCGCAAGCCUGAUCCAGCCAUACCGCGUGGGUGAAGAAGGCCUUCGGGUUGUAAAGCCCUUUUGUUGGGAAAGAAAAGCAGCAGGUUAAUACCCCGCUGUUCUGACGGUACCCAAAGAAUAAGCACCGGCUAACUUCGUG